AAGAAUAUAGCCUAUUUAAGGUAUAUCUUUUACACAGAUAAGAUGAUUGAUUCUGUUCUUA
RNAcentral lists this transfer RNA (61 nucleotides) under Neoseiulus womersleyi. RNAcentral's name for it is "tRNA-Val". The record is from RNAcentral. Lineage: Eukaryota; Metazoa; Arthropoda; Arachnida; Mesostigmata; Phytoseiidae.